Molecule: ribosomal RNA, 413 nt
Filed under: Enterobacter sp. DsF.N012
Lineage: Bacteria; Pseudomonadati; Pseudomonadota; Gammaproteobacteria; Enterobacterales; Enterobacteriaceae
Description: bacterial SSU rRNA
Rfam family: Bacterial small subunit ribosomal RNA
Source: RNAcentral
UGCAAGUCGAGCGGUAUCACAGGGUAGCUUGCUCCCGGGUGACGAGCGGCGGACGGGUGAGUAAUGUCUGGGAAACUGCCUGAUGGAGGGGGAUAACUACUGGAAACGGUAGCUAAUACCGCAUAACGUCGCAAGACCAAAGAGGGGGACCUUCGGGCCUCUUGCCAUCAGAUGUGCCCAGAUGGGAUUAGCUAGUAGGUGGGGUAACGGCUCACCUAGGCGACGAUCCCUAGCUGGUCUGAGAGGAUGACCAGCCACACUGGAACUGAGACACGGUCCAGACUCCUACGGGAGGCAGCAGUGGGGAAUAUUGCACAAUGGGCGCAAGCCUGAUGCAGCCAUGCCGCGUGUAUGAAAAAGGCCUUCGGGUUGUAAAGUACUUUCAGCGGGGAGGAAGGUGUUGAGGUUAAUAA